This 70-nucleotide transfer RNA is filed under the name Vulcanolepas fijiensis. RNAcentral describes it as "tRNA-Ser". It matches the Rfam family "tRNA". Rfam says of the family: Transfer RNA (tRNA) molecules are approximately 80 nucleotides in length. Their secondary structure includes four short double-helical elements and three loops (D, anti-codon, and T loops). The record is from RNAcentral. Lineage: Eukaryota; Metazoa; Arthropoda; Thecostraca; Neolepadidae.
AGCUAUUUAACUGACUGGAAAGUGUAUGUUUUGAAAACAUUUAAUAAAGGUUCGAAUCCUUUAAUAGUUU